UACGAAGGGGGCUAGCGUUGCUCGGAAUCACUGGGCGUAAAGCGCACGUAGGCGGCUUUUUAAGUCAGGGGUGAAAUCCUGGAGCUCAACUCCAGAACUGCCUUUGAUACUGAGAAGCUUGAGUCCGGGAGAGGUGAGUGGAACUGCGAGUGUAGAGGUGAAAUUCGUAGAUAUUCGCAAGAGCACCAGUGGCGAAGGCGGCUCACUGGCCCGGUACUGACGCUGAGGUGCGAAAGCGUGGGGAGCAAACAGG
Molecule: ribosomal RNA, 253 nt
Filed under: uncultured bacterium
Lineage: Bacteria
Description: partial 16S ribosomal RNA
Rfam family: Bacterial small subunit ribosomal RNA
Source: RNAcentral